Molecule: ribosomal RNA, 429 nt
Filed under: Pseudomonadota bacterium
Lineage: Bacteria; Pseudomonadati; Pseudomonadota
Description: Proteobacteria bacterium partial 16S ribosomal RNA
Rfam family: Bacterial small subunit ribosomal RNA
Source: RNAcentral
UGGGGAAUAUUGGACAAUGGGCGAAAGCCUGAUCCAGCCAUGACGCGUGUGUGAAGAAGGUCUUCGGAAUGUAAAGCACUUUAAGUUGGGAGGAAGGGCAGUAAGCGAAUACAUUGCUGUUUUGACGUUACCGACAGAAUAAGCACCGGCUAACUCCGUGCAAUCAGCAGCGGUAAUACAGAGGGUGCAAGCGUUAAUCGGAAUUACUGGGCGUAAAGCGCGCGUAGGUGGUUCGUUAAGUUGAAUGUGAAAGCCCCGGGCUCAACCUGGGAGCUGCAUCCAAAACUGGCGAGCUAGAGUAAGUCAGAGGGUGGUUGAAUUUCCUGUGUAUCGAUUAAAUGCGUAGAUAUAGGAAGGAACACCAGUGGCGAAGGCGACCACCUGGGCUCAUACUGACUCUGAGUUGCGAAAGCGUGGGUAGCAAACAGG